RNAcentral lists this ribosomal RNA (500 nucleotides) under uncultured bacterium. RNAcentral's name for it is "partial 16S ribosomal RNA". It matches the Rfam family "Bacterial small subunit ribosomal RNA", at positions 30 to 523 of the family's 1533-position model. The record is from RNAcentral.
AUUGAACGCUGGCGGCAUGCCUUACACAUGCAAGUCGAACGGCAGCACGGGAGCAAUCCUGGUGGCGAGUGGCGAACGGGUGAGUAAUAUAUCGGAACGUGCCCAGUCGUGGGGGAUAACGCAGCGAAAGCUGUGCUAAUACCGCAUACGAUCUAUGGAUUAAAGCGGGGGACCGCAAGGCCCCGCGCGAUUGGAGCGGCCGGUAUCAGAUUAGCUAGUUGGUGGGGUAAAGGCCCACCAAGGCGACGAUCUGUAGCUGGUCUGAGCGGCAGACCAGCCACACUGGAACUGAGACACGGUCCAGACUCCUACGGGAGGCAGCAGUGGGGAAUUUUGGACAAUGGGCGCAAGCCUGAUCCAGCAAUGCCGCGUGCAGGAUGAAGGCCUUCGGGUUGUAAACUGCUUUUGUACGGAACGAAACGGUGAGCUUUAAUACAGUUUGCUAAUGACGGUACCGUAAGAAUAAGCACCGGCUAACUGCGUGCCAGCAGCCGCCGUAA